GUCGGGAAUAUUGCGCAAUGGAGGAAACUCUGACGCAGUGACGCCGCGUAUAGGAAGAAGUUUUUCGGAAUGUAAACUAUUGUCGUUAGGGAAGAGAAAGGACAGUACCUAAGGAGGAAGCUCCGGCUAACUACGUGCCAGCAGCCGCGGUAAUACGUAGGGAGCGAGCGUUAUCCGGAAUUAUUGGGUGUAAAGGGUGCGUAGACGGGAAAACAAGUUAGUUGUGAAAUCCCUCGGCUUAACUGAGGAACUGCAACUAAAACUAUUUUUCUUGAGUGCAGGAGAGGUAAGUGGAAUUCCUAGUGUAGCGGUGAAAUGCGUAGAUAUUAGGAGGAACACCAGUGGCGAAGGCGACUUACUGGACUGUAACUGACGUUGAGGCUCGAAAGCGUGGGGAGCAAACAGG
Molecule: ribosomal RNA, 406 nt
Filed under: uncultured bacterium
Lineage: Bacteria
Description: bacterial SSU rRNA
Rfam family: Bacterial small subunit ribosomal RNA
Source: RNAcentral